UGUUCGUUAUUUAGGGCGCAUGGUGGAUGCCUUGGCAUGCUGGGCCGAUGAAGGACGUGUAAGGCUGCGUUAAGCCUCGGGGAGUUGUCAAUAGAGCGUUGAUCCGAGGAUGUCCGAAUGGGGAAACCUGGCACCUGUUAUGGGGUGUUACCCUUCAGUGAAUUCAUAGCUGUUGUGGGGGUUUACGCGGGGAAGUGAAACAUCUCAGUACCCGUAGGAGAAGAAAAUAAAAUAUGAUUCUGCUAGUAGUGGCGAACGAACGUGGAUGAGGCUAAACCGUGUGCAUGUGAUACUUGGUAGGGGUUGUGUGUGCGGUGUUGUGGGCCCCAAUGUGAAUCAGCUACCACUGGUUUGCUUGUGUGUUGUUGUUAGGUGAAGUGGUGUGGAAACGCCCACCGUAGAGGGUGAUAGUCCCGUAGUUGAAGGCUUCAAUGCAUAGGUUGUUGGGUUGCCCGAGUAGCAGCGGGCUCGUGGAAUCUGCUGUGAAUCUGCCGGGACCACCCGGUAAGCCUAAAUACUCAGUGUGACCGAUAGUGUAUGAGUACCGUGAGGGAAUGGUGAAAAGUACCCCGGGAGGGGAGUGAAAUAGUUCCUGAAACCAUGUGCUUACAAUCCGUCAGAGCACCUGUUGUGUGUGAUGGCGUGCCUUUUGAAGAAUGAGCCUGCGAGUCAGCGGCAUGUCGCGAGGUUAACCCGUGUGGGGUAGCCGUAGGGAAACCGAAUCCUCAUGGGGUGUUUAGUGGCAUGUCCUGGACCCGAAGCGGGGUGAUCUACCCAUGGCCAGUGUGAAGCAGUAGUAAGAUGCUGUGGAGGCGCGAACCCACGUAGGUUGAAAACUGCGGGGAUGAGCUGUGGGUAGGGGUGAAAGGCCAAUCAAACUCCGUGAUAGCUGGUUCUCCCCGAAAUGCAUUUAGGUGCAGCGUCGCAUUAGCUUGGUGGAGGUAGAGCUACUGGUUGGUUGAGCGGGACUACAAUCUUAGCAAUGUCAGCCAAACUCCGAAUGCCACUAAUUGUGUUGUGCGGCAGUGAGACUGUGGGGGAUAAGCUUCAUAGUCGAGAGGGAAACAGCCCAGAUCGCCGGUUAAGGCCCCUAAGGGUGUGCUAAGUGGAAAAGGAUGUGGGAUCGCGAAGACAGCCAGGAGGUUGGCUUAGAAGCAGCCAUCCUUGAAAGAGUGCGUAAUAGCUCACUGGUCGAGUGGUCCUGCGCCGACAAUGUAGUGGGGCUCAAGCACACCGCCGAAGCCGCGGCAA
This 1251-nucleotide ribosomal RNA is filed under the name Corynebacterium sp. HMSC062E11. RNAcentral's name for it is "bacterial LSU rRNA". It matches the Rfam family "Bacterial large subunit ribosomal RNA", at positions 1 to 1208 of the family's 2925-position model. The record is from RNAcentral. Lineage: Bacteria; Bacillati; Actinomycetota; Actinomycetes; Mycobacteriales; Corynebacteriaceae.